AGGGAUUGGGGCAGUAUACUUAGGCCAGAUGGAAAUCAGCCCUCGAAUGCAAAAGGCAGAAGGAAUGCUUAUUACAAGUGGACCUACUAACUAUAUCAACCAAUUCAAAACUGCCAUCAGAGCAAGUAUAAGCUUCAGGUUUUAAUAGUUUAGGACCAUGCUUCAUUAGCCAAACCAUAUAAUAUGUUAAUAUCUAGAAGAUUUAACACAAUAAUUAGAAAUGGAAGAAGACAUGCAUUAAUUCCCACUUUCUCCACAUAAGAGCCACCAUUUAUAGAAGUUGCAUCACAUAAGCUAAAGAGACCAUCUGCAAGAAGCCUCAAACUGGUGAAAAAAGUAGUUUACAAGUGUGGCUCGAGAACCAGAAUUUCAAAGCCACCUCAAAAAAAGAGGAAGGUAGGUUGCACUGUUAAGCAGAGUAACUUAAACAUCAAUAAUAAAUCUAAUGCACAAAAUAUGGUGAUUUUUAAUAGGUGAGAAGCAAGGGUUAGAAAUUUUGAUAUUACCUGCCCAAUCCUAUGAGCACGAUCUUCAGCUUGAAUAAUGUCCCCUGGAGUCCAUGACAGCUCCGCAAAUAUCACGGUACUUGCAGCUGUUAAGGUUAACCCAACACCUGCAGCUCUAAUUGAUAGCUGAAGGCCAAAUGUCCAAGAAACACCGGGAAAAAAAGGAGAUUACAUCCUCUAAAUAUGGGUAACAAAUAAAGACUACUAACGCACAUGAUUUAAAAAUAGGAAAUAUAAUGCAAUGUUAGCAUAUUAUUAAGGUCAGUGCAAUACCACUGCUGCACUAAUAGAAUCUUUUUCCUGAAACUCUGUAACCAACGCUUGCCUUGAUGCUGCUGGUGUUCCACCAUCAAUGCGAAUGCAACCAACUUUUUUCUUCUGAAAUUUAUCGUUUCCAAUAAGUCUUUACUAAGUUUUUAAUAAAGAAAUUCAUUGUACAUUAAGUGACCUUACCAGGAAAAAUUGGUGUAUUGCAUCAAUCAUUGGCUGAUGAUGUGCAAAUAUUAAGAACUUACAGCCCGCCUGAAAUAGGUGCAAGUAUAACUAUAUUUGCAUUGAACAAUAUAAAUGAGAAAAAAUGAACAGUCUAUUAUUCAAUAGAAAUAGAACUGGUGUGCAGAAAAACUUGCACUGCUAUCUUUAUAAGAAUGGCCUUUUUAAAGGAAGGUAAACAUACAAAAUGAACAUAAUAACAAAAUUCAUAAAGAUGCAGAAGAAAAUCACCAGGAAAUUGGUAAAUUGUCCAACAAACUACUUGGGCCAUACUAAUAAGCUAUUUAUAAACCAUGAUUUGGGUGGGCCAUAGCCAUACUAAUAAGCCGCUUGUGCAGAAUAUGUUUGCUGUAUACAUCCACAUUGUAGUUGUCAUAAGCCUCAGAAUGGUACCAAUCUGGCAAACAGAGAGGACUCUAUUACCUCUGUCUAACUAUAGUUCGAGUCAUGACUACUGUUCUGGUUUGACUGAGACCUUGGUGUUUUAAGUUUGUGUGAAUAUAAAUGUGUGCAUGUGUGAGUGACUGAUCUGUUUUAUAUACAUUGUUUUUUAAUAUUAUAUUUUCAAGAAGGAAGAUUGACAUGCUACAGUGACUGGGCACUCUAACUGCAAAGUAGUCAUUUAGUAUUCAGAUUUAAAUUUAAUCAAAUCCUCUUACUAUACUCAAAUACUUCAACAUAAUUACUUGAAGUGUAAAUUAAAUUACGUCCUUUUUCUAAUUUUGGGCCACCACAAAUUUCAGGUUAUCCAAACAGGAAAAUCUGCAGAUCUUCCCUUAUGACUUUUCGCCAACCCCUGACAGUAAGUGCCCUAACAACUCUUUACUUAAAAAUCAGUUCCUAACCAGGCUGUAGAUGAUUGCUCGAGUGCAACGUAAAAACUGACCGUGGUCACAUGGAUAAAAUGUUUUACAUAGCGAAUUUUAGAAAAAUUAGUAACUAUACUACCAUUUGCAAAUUCAUUUGCAACUCUACUACCUCCCUAAAAAAUUUAUGAAGAUAAGGUAAGCUAUCAAUUGCAACCGAAGCCGACUUCUUCACAUAUUUUUAAAAAUUAUUUGCAUAUGGGUGAUAUUGGUUAAUAGAUUAAUACUCGUUGCAAAAGAUUUAUGAUUUUGUUGCAUUUAGUUGCAAAGUCAUAUUUUCACAUAUAUUUUUAAGAAAUUCGUAUUUUUCCUAAACUUAUAAUGUAUUCUUGCAAAAAAAAAAAAAGUUUUUUAAUAAGCCUCCAGAUUAUAUGCUUAUCUGACAUUAAAAACCUUUCUACAUAUAUGAACAAUCAAUGGAAACAAACCUCAAUGACAGUUCCUAAGUAAUCCAAAACUGCUGGGAUCUUCGCUUCUGCAGAGUCGGUAUAAAUCUGCGGACAAUAUAUGAUGUUACCUCAUAGUAUGAUAUGUAUACACCAAGUUCCAUUAUUAAUAGAAUAGGCAAAUAUACAUCAAUUAAUAGAUAUACGUAUCCAUUUAAACAAACAUUUGACUUGUAAUUGAAACAAACAUUUAAACAAUUCAAAACAGCUAACUACUAAGUUCAUCUCUAUCAAGCAAUAAAGCAUUUGACUUGUAGUUUUUGCACAAGUUUUUUUUGCUGCUGCUUUUUUUUAUAUGUUCAUCCCAUUACCUCCGUUAUACGAUCAACUAUCACCCCCGUUAUGUGAUCAACUAUCAUGAACCAAAUACCUUUCUCCUAGGAUACUACGUUCCUGAAACGUAGCACAAACUUACUCUACUUUGGUUGCACACAAUGGCCUUACUGGAGCCACUGAUCAUGUCCAUCAUCUUCAUAUAGAUCUUCACACACUACCAUGGGUAUGCCUUCCCAUGUUAAUCAUCUCAAUUUAGAGUCCUCUUAUUCAAUAUCAUACCAAAUGAAAAGAAAAUUUAAAAGUUUAAAGAAAAUACGAUAAUCAAUAAAUCUAACCAAUCAAUGAGUCCGGGGAUAUUCAUAGAUUGAAAGUUAUUCAGCAGACAAAUAUGUUACAUAAGAUCAAAUUAUGUGGCUCUAUUGAGUAGAAGAGACUAACCAAUAUCUAGAAAAUGGUGGAAUGCUUUAAACAAUAAAAAAAAACCUUUAUAUUUAUAAAGAAAUUACUAAUAUCAAGUCUUUCCAAACAAGUUGCACAACUUAAGAAAUUCAAAUUGAAAAAACAAAAGAUAUUUAAAGAAUAGAAGGUUAUCCACGAUCCUUGAACAAUGAAUUAGGGGUAUUUCAAAAAAUAGUAGAUUAUUGAGUUUUGCCUAGCUAUAUGUCAAGUUUUAUGAUCAAAGCUAGCUAUCUUGAUUAAUAAGACAGUCCAGAUUCUCCAAAUUAAUAACCAAAAGAAAGAAUGUUAAAAUAAGAAGUUCACUGAUAAUUUAGGUAAGCAAGUCAUUUGAAAUCUAACAGUGUCUUAAAGAAUGAUCACUGGUACACCAAUCAAACCACACACGGUCAUUCGCGUAAUUUACACAACCAUGAUCAGUUAUAAUUGCCAAAAUCAAACAUACAGUAUGAGACCAAAUUUCAACUCAACAAAAUUCAGCUAAUCAUAUAACUGAUACUCCUUAAUCAUUAUAAUUGAAAAACAAGAUUGGAGAUUCCUAGUCUAAGCGACAAUGGGAUUUCUUGGUCACAUACAAUAUACAGUUAAACGUUAAGGAACAUCUGUGAAAGAUGAGAGUGAUUAGAAUUGUACCUGGACUUGGGUUGGUAUACGAGGUAACGGGGUGCAAUGGGAUAGAUAGCAGAGAGCUGCAAUUGGAAAAUUUCGUUGCCCUGUACAAUGCAACUAAAUUGUCUCAUUGCAGCUCUCGGGUAUCUAUCCCAUUGCACCCUGUUACCUCCUACACGAACCCAAGUCCAGGUACAAUUCUAAUCACUCUCAUGUUUCACAAUGUUCCUUAACGUUUAAUUGUAUCUUGUAUAAUCAAGAAAUCCCAUUUUGUGGCUUAGACUAGGAAUCUCCAAUCUUGUUUUUCAAUUAUGCUAUGAUCAAGGUGUGUCAGUCAUGUGAUUUGCUGAAUUUUGUUUGAGUCGAAGUUUGGUUUGAUAAUGUGUAUUUGAUUUCGACAAUUAAAAUUGAUCAUGGUUGUGCAAUCUCAAUUGCAACUGUAGGAACUUUAACAAUAUAUUUGAAAAUUAAGUUUGAAAACAUGUGUAUUCUUGCAAAUUUCCCUAUUCUUAAUUUGAAUAUGUAACUAUCUCAAUUUAUUUAUUGUUUGUUUAUUGAAAUUGCAGGAAAACAAUGGUCUAUAUUCUUUGGCGGUUGAUGUCGUUCUUGCCACUAAAGGGAGCACUGAAGACAAGUUCUUUGUCAAAUAGUUGGAAGUUACUAUGGACUAUCCACACUGGUAAAUUGUAUGUGAUAUCAGUUGUAUAAUUGGGAUAUUCUGUGACGAAUCUGUAUCUGUAGUCGAGUUGCAUCAAUAGCAAUACAUGAUCGUGCAUAAGUUGAAAAUUCUACAAAUUUGUCUCCGGAUACACAUGCAAACAGCUGAACCAGCUUCGGCACAUGAUCAAACGAAAAGUGGUCUAAUAGACCGUCGAAUUCCAGUAUUUGAAGACUCUCGGCAUAAAGUUGAAUAUUCUUCGAUCUCAAACAUCAUUUUAUAUACAAGAAUUUCAACCUGGGAUUUCUAAUAGUGAGCUUAAAUAUCAGGUUGAAACCCUAGGUUGAAAUUCUUGGAUAUCAGAUCCUGUUUGAGAUUGAAGAGUAUUGCGCUUUAUGCCGAGAGCCUUCAAAUACUGGAAUUCGACGGUCUACUAGACCACUUUUCGUUUGAUCACGUGCCGAAGCUGGUUCAGCUGUUUGCAUGUGUAUCUGGAGAGAAAUUUGUACAAUUUUCAACUUAUGCCCUCUCCAGGAUUGCUGUUGAUGCACCUCAUUAUGAAAAUUGGUCCUGUGCUUCUGUCUUAAAAUAUAAAAUACACUGGAUAUUCAUCAUGCAAAGUUCCAAGUAAAUAAGUGAAAUCACAUACAAUAUAAGUGUAAAUAGUCGUCCAUAUCAACUUCCAAGACAAAGUAUUUAUCAUUAGUGCCUCCCAUGAUGGCAACCAUGCAAAACAGCAACAGUGAAAGAAUAUGUAUUGAUGGGGAUUUGUGAAAUUUAACCAUUGUUUUGUGUAUAACUUAGUCAUAUAAAAAAUAAAAUUGGAUAUAGUUCAUCAAGUACACCUAUUCACCCCUCUAGCUAGGUGUGCAUUUUCAGAAUACUUAUUUAGAAAUUAAGAAAAAAAGCAUAUAAAAAAUUCAUAUUUUAAUGGUGAACACCCCCUAAUGACUUCACCAAAAUGUUUUUGACAAAAAAAAAAUACUUAGUUACGUUAUUGAAUUUUUUGCAUAGUUCAAGCUGUAAAAUCAAAUAUUAGAUAGUUUAAUAAUUUUUUAGUUAAUUUUCAAAAAAAAAAAUGUACAAAAACAUAUUUUGUUAGAAACAGUUAUAAAGUCAAAAUCUUUAAAGUAUGCAUAGUUUGAGAGGAGUUUUAAAAUUGCGAUGAAAUACACAUAAUACAUGCAUGUAUAUAUUAAUCAAUAGCUAUCAAAUAUGUAGUAAGAUGAACACAAAAAGAAAAAGAAGUGUGAGGAAAGAGAUCCGAAGUGUAAAAAAAAUAGGUCAAAAUCAUAAAUAAGUAGUCAAUUUUAGGAGUAACAUGUGAGUAAAAAAAAGGAGUAACACUUGUAGUAUGAAGCUUGCUUAUUGAGUGGAGCAUAUAGAGAAUCUUAAUUAGUCUUUAAACUAGAAUUCAUGAUAUAUGAACCAUCAUUAUUUUAUAUGCAUUAAAUCAGCUAUAUAAUACGAUAUCAAUCUUACCUGAGGCGGUUGACUCUUGAGUUUUCAUUGUUUACCGCAAGUUCUGCAUGUGCAUAAAAAUACAAAUAUUUAUAAGAAUAUGACACAGAGUAUUUCCUAUAUUUGAGAACAUGGGGAAUUUGAUCAUCUUCAUAGUGCUCCCUCAAAGCUUUCUAAUAUCAUAUCUAGUAUAAAAUUCUUAAACCAAAAGAUAAAUAUUUCUUAAAAAAUAAGAGGAAAUAAAGAAAGAUGUAUUAUAAACAUGACUAAAAAUCAUGAAUCUUUGAACCGUGUAUAUUCCCGAAUUAGAUGAAGAAUGAUGGUGUGGGUGAGAUUAUCAUGAAUCAAUGGAAGUAAAGGAUGGUUUUCGGACUAGUCUAGGGUUUGAACGCGACCAAUCAGUCCUGAGGUGUCACAAUUCCAGGGGUGUUAGUCCAACUAUCAUAAUUUUCACGAAAAUGACCUCAAAUACCAAUGCCAGAGAAGAUGGUCCCGAGUUACCAUCCAAAAUACUAGAUUGUGUGAUGUUUAUCCUCUUAUUCUUCUCAACACUACAUAAUAUGGCGUUUUGAUACACUAAACUCUAUUUCAUGUAGCGUUUGUGACCUUUUCUCCGAUUCCAAAGCACAACAAAGAACUAUACUCUUGAGCAAAAGGAAUUUAAAUAUUUUUACCUAUGUCUUGUAUUGUGAGCUCCAUAUGCCCUCUUUAAUUCUGCCUUUCUUCACUUCUUGCACACACAGAUAAGAAAUUUUUGAAUUAGAGUAGAUGAAGUUCAAACAUAAAAGAAAUUGAAUUACAAAAUUAUAGGUAGAUUUUUAUAUUUACCUAUUAUACAAGGGACAAUCCAGUGAUUUUGGUGUAGCAUGAACAAAUAGCUUGAAAUCUGUAUAAAAAAAAUCACAAGGAUGACUUGGACGAAAGGCUUUGAACCGGAUCUUGUGGCAAAAUAUUAUACAACUUAUACAAAUACAUAUUUAUAUACAUAAGAUCAAUUCUGAUGCACACGUCUUGUAUAUCUAGAUCUAUGAGGAAAACUGCCUUGUAUAUCUAGAUCUAGAUCUACGAGGAAAGCUGCGUUUAGAACGGUGAAAGGUGAUGAUACGCCUUGUAUAUCUAGAUCUAUGAGAAAAGCUGUGUUUAGGACGGUGAAAGACGAUAAUACGCCUCAUACAUCUAGAUCUAUGAGGAAAGUCGCGUUUAGGACGGUGAAAGGUGAUGAUAUAAGAAGGAGAAAGAACUAGGCAACGGCGGAUUAUAUUAAGAUGUUUAGGUUUUAUGGCAAAUCGCGGCGGUUCAAUUUAUUUAAUCUAGGGGCUCAUAUUUCACUUUUGAUUAGAAAUGAAGAUUAAGCCUUUCGAAAAUUUAAAUAUUCUAAAUGACAAUAUCAAAAUAUUUAAUAAAAUGUUUAGUACAUUUAUAAAUAUAUUACAAUUACUGAAACAUAUAUGAAUGUUUUUUAUUCAUUAAUACAACUCGGAUAUCUUGGUCAUGAUCAUCAAAUCUAGAUCUUGAAUUCUAAUGUGUUAUUUAGAGGAUUAUACACCAAAUAUUGUAAUAUCAACCUUAGGAUAUUUAGUGUGGUACCCUCAAAUUCGCGUCCCACGGAUUGAGGUCUCAAGACAUCCAACAUUCAUCACACCUACAACAAAUAUCAUACAAUAUUAAUUAUAUUACUAAUGAAUUUCCGACCCGACCCAAAGAUUACCACUCUCAUUUUUUAUUACUAUGUUUCAUAAACACAAUUUAUUAUAUGUUACGAAUCCUGAGGACUAAGAUCGCAACCACCAAAUCCUUUUAUUAUAACUACGAGCAUCCGUCCAUAUUAAUCAAAGACAUCUCCUUGAAGAGAGACUCACAGAACCCCACGGCUUGCUCAGAAAAUCCCAAAAGUAAUCCUCAUCAUGUUGGGCCUAAACCUUGCCCUUGGUUUUCAUUUAUUGGUUAAAAUGCUCUUCAUUCUCCCAAACUUAAAUAUUUAUACAAAAUUUUGAGAAAUAGCAAAAUUAUAGUUGUUUGUUGAUGAAUCUACAUAUUGUCGGUAUUUCUUUCUCUUUUUUUCACGAAUAUAUCGUCUGUAUUAUAGAUCACUCUCAUUGGCAAAAUAUGUAGUGCCUUUACCUCUUUUAAACUAAACAACUUCAUUACCACAACCUUGUCAGUUGUCACAAAAGACCUUCAUUAUCACACCACCAAGCUGCAAAUUUGGCAAGAUUCACUCUAUACAUGCUCUAUUGACCGAUUUGCAUGUUGCAACUACAAAUAAUCUACAGCUAAAUCUAAGGAAUAUGUCAUAUUUCAAAGGGUGCACCAUAUAUCUUUCGCCACAAGCAUCUGAUCAUUUUAACAGUGCCUAGCUUGCUUAGCAUUAGGCUCGUCUUUGUGUUUUUGAAUGUUAUUACACCGUUUUACAAAGGAGUCUAAUGUUUUCUGCUUUCCUGGGCUGCUUGAGGGGAAAUUUGGUCCCUGCUUUGAAGGGCUGCUUUUUAACUCGCUAGCAGAAACCUCCAACGAAUUCUCAUUUCCAUCAAGCAUCUGUAUAUCCAUUGACCAAACAGGAAUACACAUCUUAGUAAAAAAUAGCAGUUAACAAUUGCAAAAUGAAUGAAUCCACAUAUAUUCCCUUGCAUAUUCAUUUCAUAACUAAUGUCCUUAUAAAAAGCUGCUAAAAAAAAAUUGUUCUUAGCAUUAUACUCUAUUUUAAAAAUAAUAACAGUAAAAAAAGGAGGCCAAUAAAAUAAACCUGUCCAAGAUUUUCCAGCUUGCUCUGGAGAACAUCCCUGCGAAUAUAUGAAGUUUAAUUUAGCUUCUAAUUACUUUAGGCUGCCCAUAAUUAAGCUAAUGGAGAUGAGAAAUACCAUAUUAUGUCAUCAACUGUGUCAUUAGCUAGCAGAUAAUAUAUGUUGACUGCUGAAACCUAACAGAACAACACAAAAACCAUAAGAGCACUCAUAAGACGUAUAAAACCAGAACACAACUGUGUCAUUAGCUAGCAGAUAAUAUAUGUUGACUGCUGAAACCUAACAGAACAACACAAAAACCAUAAGAGCACUCAUAAGACGUAUAAAACCAGAACAUAUUUGCAUAUAACUUGAUCAAACCUAAAAGAAUGGAACAAGAACCAUAACAGCAUUGAUACAUCAGAGGCCGAAAUAUACAGUAUGGGACCAAGGAGAUAAUAGGCUUUCAGAGGGAUCAGGGCAGUAUACUUAGGCCAGAUGGAAAUCAGCCCUCGAAUGCAAAAGGCAGAAGGAAUGCUUAUUACAAGUGGACCUACUAACUAUAUUAACCGAUUCAAAACUGCCAUCAGAGCAAGUAUAAGCUUCAGGUUUUAAUAGUUUAGGACCAUGCUUCAUUAGCCAAACCAUAUAAUAUGUUAAUAUCUAGAAGAUUUAACAAAAUAAUUAGAAAUGGAAGAAGACAUGCAUUAAUUCCCACUUUCUCCACAUAAGAGCCACCAUUUAUAGAAGUUGCAUUACAUAAGCUAAAGAGACCACCUGCAAGAAGCCUCAAACUGGUGAAAAAAAUAGUUUACAACAGCAUACUAGCUAAAGCUUCUACCAAACUACGAGGUAGACAAGUG
RNAcentral lists this long non-coding RNA (9353 nucleotides) under Daucus carota (carrot). RNAcentral describes it as "long non-coding RNA (DCAR_LNC005860)". Lineage: Eukaryota; Viridiplantae; Streptophyta; Magnoliopsida; Apiales; Apiaceae. The record is from RNAcentral.